Molecule: ribosomal RNA, 253 nt
Filed under: uncultured bacterium
Lineage: Bacteria
Description: partial 16S ribosomal RNA
Rfam family: Bacterial small subunit ribosomal RNA
Source: RNAcentral
UACGGAGGGUGCAAGCGUUAAUCGGAAUUACUGGGCGUAAAGCGUGCGCAGGCGGUUAUAUAAGACAGAUGUGAAAUCCCCGGGCUCAACCUGGGACUUGCAUUUGUGACUGUAAAGCUAGAGUAUGGUAGAGGGGGAUGGAAUUCCGAGUGUAGCAGUGAAAUGCGUAGAGAUGCGGAGGAACACCGAUGGCGAAGGCAAUCCCCUGGACCAGUACUGACGCUCAGGCACGAAAGCGUGGGGAGCAAACAGG